This 72-nucleotide transfer RNA is filed under the name Sphingobacteriaceae bacterium. RNAcentral describes it as "tRNA-Ala". It matches the Rfam family "tRNA". From Rfam's summary of the family: Transfer RNA (tRNA) molecules are approximately 80 nucleotides in length. Their secondary structure includes four short double-helical elements and three loops (D, anti-codon, and T loops). The record is from RNAcentral. Lineage: Bacteria; Pseudomonadati; Bacteroidota; Sphingobacteriia; Sphingobacteriales; Sphingobacteriaceae.
GGGGAAAUAAUAUAUCUGGUAGUAUAACGCUUUUGCAUAGCGUAAGGACUGGUUCAAGUCCAGUUUUCUCCA